UUAUGGUAACCCUAGGAAACCGAUGGAGUGUGGAAGAGUAAACCCUGGUGCCUCCAGUGUUCCCACAGAGUUUCUCUCCAGAGCCUCACAAGGGCAGUUCCUAAACUUGUUAAUGUGACUACAAAGAACCAUGGACCUCAAUGAUUCAUUCCACAAACAUUUAUUGACUUCAUCCAGGCACAAAUGACAAGGGCAAAAAAAUAAGCUCCCAAGUAGCUCAAAAUAAAUAAGACCCGAAGCCACAACAGUUUAAGGAAGACACAGGCACACAGAAUUAACUUCACUAUGAUGCAGUCUGAGGUGAGAUGUGGUAUGCAGAGUGGGUGAGGACCACACCGUGGCCAUGCAGACUUCCCUGGGAUGCAGGAGGACGGUCAGAUUGGAGGCCCAUCAUAAGCAGGUCUUUAGGAAAAAAUACAAGUGUGCCAGGUGGAUGACGGAGCUCAGACACUGCAGCAUCGGGAAGUUGAAAAAGGAAACUUGUGUCCCGAUGCAAACGAGCUCUAGAUUCUCUGGAAAGCAAAAAGGAGAGCGAGGAGAGGAAGUUUCUCCAAUUUCUUUACUUCCCACCUGCUGGUCUGUCUGAUUUCCUGUCCAGCUCUGUCUGGUAAGGAAUUGACUCUCCCCCUCCUCGCCCGCCCUCGCCCUCCUGCCUUCCUCCCUCUCCUCCCUGAGUAACGAUGCUGUCCUAGCAAGUGAUGCUGUCCCAGCAAGUGAUGCUGUCCCAGCCUCGAGGCCAGCACGGAGCAGGCAUCGCAGCCGCUGCCUCAGGGCCCGAGCUCCCUUCCCAGCGCCCGCGACCCGCGCUGCCCCAGGCUUGCUCCCCGCAGCCGCGGCCACCCCUGACCGCUUGCACGAGGGCCCCGCUGAGCGCUCCGCCCGCCUUCCCGCCGCGGGCUGCGGGGCUGCGGGGCUGCGGGAGCGUCGGCCGAGGAGCCCUGGGGCCGGCAGCCCGGAGCGCGGACCGCCGCCCGCGCGAUGUCCACCAAGGUCAGGAAGAGCAAGGAGCAGGCGAGGGUGACCUUCCCCGCGCCGGAGGAGCAGGAGGAGGAGAACAGGGAGGACGAGAGCGAGGAGCCGCAGCGCCGCCGCCAGGGCUGGAGGGGCGUCAACGGGGCGCUCGAGCCACCCCGCUCCUGCCCGCUGCCCCGCUCCGCGGGCCCAGACGAUCUUGAAGACUGCGAGAUGCAAAGAAGAUAAAGCGAGAGUUAUCAAUGUUACAGAGUGAGGUGUAAGACCGAGGGCCUUACCAAAUGCUCCGAGGAGCUGACUGCAGCGAAGAACACCCGGGAGGGAACACACCAGACAAGUUGGAAAAAUAAUAAGUACAUUCCGGGAACUCUGUGUCCUGUAGUGAACCCGAAACCCACAGGGACAAGAUGGAGGGCCUGUAACAAGAUGGCGUUACUUGUGCUAAGUCUCAUCUGGGUCUUACAGAGGGACUCUGUUUCUCCUGCCGCGCACCGUGGGCGUCCUGAAGGGUUUAAUGUCUUUCUCUAAGGAAGAGCCACAGACGUCCGUAGAAAACUUGGGGUCUAAACUUGGCCUUGAAGGGGAGAUGGUUCUCUCCGGGAGGGACCGAGAUUCUGCAGCGCCCCCUGCCGCCCUAAAACUGUCCACUGCCGGUCCGAGGCCUGUGGGGCGACCCAGGAGGGACCCCACCAGUCCCCUGCUUGCUGCUUGGCUGCCUCAGAGCCGCCGCCGCCGCCUGGCCGAGCUGCACUUGGAUAAACAGAAAUCUAAGGCUGGGAGUAGAUCCUACAGGAAAGGGCUUGGAUUUAAAAUAAGCGACGCAUCCUGAGGCGGUUUCAUUAUUGCUGAAGUUAGCACACGGAGUGUAAAUGGCCCAGAAAAUGGAGGAAAAGACCCGAUCCUUUGGGAUUAAAGCGCUGUCAGCUCGCUUCAACACCUCCCUAAGGUUUAUAAAUAUUGCCCAUUUUGCUUCUUG
This is a non-coding RNA of Heterocephalus glaber (naked mole-rat), 1948 nucleotides long. NCBI's taxonomy places the organism in Eukaryota, Metazoa, Chordata, Mammalia, Rodentia, Bathyergidae. The record is from RefSeq and is a predicted model, not a curated record.